Molecule: long non-coding RNA, 2897 nt
Filed under: Homo sapiens (human)
Lineage: Eukaryota; Metazoa; Chordata; Mammalia; Primates; Hominidae
Description: HSALNT0311030
Source: RNAcentral
AGCCAUCCGCGACAGGUCGGGAGGCGAGGCGGGGCGGGGCUGGGCCGGCUGUCCGCACAAAGAGAGCCAGCGAGCUAGCCCGCGGACCAGGUACCCCGGGCCGCUGGGGGCCGGGCGGGGCGGGGCGAGGCAGGGAACACUUACCCAGCAGUAGCACGUUCUUCCCCGCAGGGAGCUUGGAGCGCGAGCGGGUGGAGACCUCGCUGAGGAUGCAGGACCUAACGGGAAGCAAGGCGUACGGUGAGGCCGGAGGCCGGAGCCGCAGCGCGGGAGGGACGGACCCGGCCUCGGCGCGCCGGGGAUGGGGCUGCCGGGAACGCAGUGGCCGGGCCCGGCGCCGAGCUCCAGCGGGCACGGGAUCCCGAGGCGUCCGCGCAAGGCCGGGGGAGCCAGCGGGGGCUGAGGGAGAGGUGGAGUCGUUACCAAAGGUUCUGCCCGUCCUCGUCGUCGCCUGCCGCGGCGCCACCGUUGCCCGACGCUAUCUCGUUGCCCAAGGGGCCGCCAGUGUAAGUCGAGGAUAAUCCCGGCGGAGAAGAACCGAAGGAGCCGACUCGCCCCACGGCCGCCAUCUUGGUCGGGAAUCACACCACUCCCGGCAAGACUAAAUGUGCGAGGCGGCUGAGGCGGUGGCGGUGGAGGCGGCGGGAACCCGGAUAUGGGGCGUUCAGCGCACGGGAGCGGGGCGGGGCCUGCGGGGGCGGGGCCCCGGGCCGGGCCAGGACUGAUGGAGCGAGCGAGAACGGACUGCGCGUGCGUGGCUGCCUGGCCGGCGCUGAGGGGCUGAGCGUACGCGGGCGGCGGGGUGGGCCGCUAUGCUGCAACUGAAGCCCAGUGAUCUGACAGUAUGGAAGUGCUUUCCUUCCGCUCAUCCGCGGCCCUGGGCUGCGGCAGGGGGGUUGGGUGUGUCAGGUGAAAAGUGCUCCCUCCCACCCUUCAGACAGGUCCCCAAACCCUGCGGCCUGCGCGGAAUUCCUGCAUUGUCAUUGCCGGCCCACCCACUGUUCAGGCUGAGAGCGGUCCCCCGCCCAAACCGGCGCUUCGCCGGCGCCAAGAUAGAAAUGGGUCGCCCGGCUGGUAAAGAGGCUGCCCUGCAACCCUGGGCUGGAGUAUUGCUGUGGUCCUGGAUUUCUGGACUUUAUUUGCGUUCUCAAGUGGCGAAGUGUUCCUCAACCUGGACCCACAUCAGAAGCAGGUUCUCCGAGCCCCUAAGCAGCGGCGUGACAAAGGAUUUUUAUCAAGUGGACCCUCACAGAACAUCAUAUCUUAGUGAGAGGUGACAGCGUGCUGGCAGCUCUCGCUCGCUCUCGGCACCUCCUCUGCCUGGACUCCCACUUUGGUGGCACUUGAGGAGCCCUUCAGCCCACCGCUGCACUGUAGGAGCCCCCUUCUGGGCUGGCCAAGGCCGGAGCUGGCUCCCUCAGCUUGCAGGGAGGUAUGGAGGGAGAGGCGCGAGCGGGAACCGGGGCUGCGCGCAGCGCUUGCAGGCCAGCUGGAGUUCCGGGUGGGCGUGGGCUUGGCGGGCCCCGCACUCGGAGCAGCCGGCCGGCCCUGCUGGCCGGGCAAUGAGGGGCUUAGCACCUGGGCCAGCGGCUGCGGAGGGUGUGCUGGGUCCCCCAGCAGUGCCGGCCCACCGGCGCUGUGCUUGAUUUCUCGCCGGUCCUUAGCUGCCUUCUCUCAGGGCAGGCCUCGGGACCUGCCGCCCACCAUGCCUGAGCCUCCCCGACGAGCGCUGCCCCCUGCUCCCCGACGCCCAGUCCCAUCGACCACCCAAGGGCUGAGGAGUGAAGGCGCAGGCGCAGGACUGGCAGGCAGCUCCACCUGCGGCCCCAGUGGGGGAUCCACUGGGUGAAGCCAGCUGGGCUCCUGAGUCUGGUGGGGAUUUGGAGAACAUUUAUGUCUAGCUAAGGGAUUGUAAAUACACCAAUUGGCACUCUGUAUCUAGCUCAAAGUUUGUAAACACACCAAUCAGCACCCUGUGUCUAGCUCAGGGUUUGUGAAUGCACCAAUGGACACUCUGUAUCUAGCUAAUCUAGUGGGGGGCCUGGAGAACUUUUGUAUCUAGCUCGGGGAUUGUAAAUGCACCAAUCAGCAGCCUGUCAAAACAGACCAAUCAGCUCUCUGUAAAACAGACCAAUCAGCUCUCUGUAAAAUGGACCAAUCAGCAGGAUGUGGGUGGGGCCAGAUAAGAGAAUAAAAGCAGGCUGCCCAAGCCUGUAGUGGUAACCCACUCGGGUUUGAUUGCCUACUGGGGAAGGUUUGUUUUUUCCUUCUUUGCAAUAAAUGUUGUUGUUGCUCACUUUUUGGGUGCGUGCUGUGUUUAUGAACUGUAACACUUACUGCGGAGGUUUACAGCUUCCUUUCUGAAGUCAGUGAGACCGUGAACCCAGCAGAAGGAGGAAACUGUCUCAGCAUCCGAAUGUCACAACGAGCAAAUCCACGUGCGGCGCCUUUAUGAGCUGUAACACUCACUGUGAGGGUCCACGGCUUCUUUAAGUCAGUGAGACGAAGAACCUGUCAAUUCCAGACACAUCAGCACAGAGAGAUGGAGAAAUACCUAAAAGAAAGUAGAAAUAGACUCUUUUAACGUGUUUGUUUUUUCAGAGAAACCGCCAGAAAGUGCCCGGGGCAGUGGCUGUCGCCUGUAAUUCCAGCACUUUGGGAAGCAGGAAAGGGCAGAUCACUUGUGGCCAGGAGUUCAAGGACAACUUAGCCAACACUGUGAAACCCCAUUUCUACCAACAAUACAAAAAUUAGCCAGACAUACUGGGGCAUGCCUGUAAUCUCAGCUACUCAGGAAGCUGAGGCAGGAGAAUCGCUUGAGCCUGGCAGGUGGAGGCUGCAGUGAGUCAAGAUCAAACCAGUGCACUCCAGCCUGGGCAACAAAGCGAGACUGCACC